This 207-nucleotide unclassified non-coding RNA is filed under the name Hevea brasiliensis (rubber tree). Lineage: Eukaryota; Viridiplantae; Streptophyta; Magnoliopsida; Malpighiales; Euphorbiaceae. The record is from RNAcentral.
AAGGAGGAAAAAAGAUAUGGAAAUUCAUAGAACAUCCAAGAGUUGGGCUAUAGUGUUUGUAUCUCUUGUUGUAACCUCCAAACAUCUUGGAAAUGCUGAUUUCUGUUGGCUUGAAUUCCAUUUUUUGUUACAGCAACAAGGAUGAAGCUCAAUCAGUGAAAGUUUCUGUUGAAGAUUAGCAAAACAGUAGUGAGAGUGACACUUUUU